RNAcentral lists this ribosomal RNA (462 nucleotides) under uncultured bacterium. Its description in RNAcentral is "partial 16S ribosomal RNA". It matches the Rfam family "Bacterial small subunit ribosomal RNA", at positions 338 to 795 of the family's 1533-position model. The record is from RNAcentral.
CCUACGGGAGGCAGCAGUGAGGAAUAUUGGUCAAUGGACGCAAGUCUGAACCAGCCAAGUAGCGUGCAGGAUGACGGCCCUCCGGGUUGUAAACUGCUUUUAGUUGGGAAUAAAAGGGGGCUCGUGAGCCCCGUAUCGUAUGUAACAUCAGAAAAAGGACCGGCUAACUCCGCGCCAGACGCCGCGGUAAUACGGAAGGUCCGGGCGUUAUUCGGAUUGAUUGGGUUUAAAGGGAGCGUAGGCCGGCUUUUAAGUAAGCUGUGAAAGUCCGCGGCUCAACCGGGGAAUUGCAGUGGAAGCUGGAGGCCUUGAGUGCACGCAGGGAUGCCGGAAUUCAUGGUGUAGCGGUGAAAUGCUUAGAUAUCAUGAAGAACUCCGAUCGCGAAGGCAAGUGUCCGGGGUGCAACUGACGCUGAGGCUCGAAAGUGCGGGUAUCAAACAGGAUUAGAUACCCCAGUAGUC